CUACGGAGGGUGCGAGCGUUAAUCGGAAUUACUGGGCGUAAAGCGUACGUAGGCGGUUGGUUAAGUUAGAUGUGAAAGCCCCGGGCUUAACCUGGGAACUGCAUUUAAAACUGGCGAACUAGAGUUGAGUAGAGGGGAGUGGAAUUUCAGGUGUAGCGGUGAAAUGCGUAGAGAUCUGAAGGAACACCAGUGGCGAAGGCGACUCCCUGGACUCGAACUGACGCUGAGGUACGAAAGCGCGGGUAGCAAACGGGAUUAGAAACCCUAGUAGUCC
Molecule: ribosomal RNA, 274 nt
Filed under: uncultured bacterium
Lineage: Bacteria
Description: partial 16S ribosomal RNA
Rfam family: Bacterial small subunit ribosomal RNA
Source: RNAcentral